CAGAAAGACCCUAUGAAGCUUUACUGUAACUUGAGAUUGAAUUUGGGCUUUAUUUGCGCAGGAUAGGUGGGAGGCUUUGAUGGUAUUUUUGCGGAAAUAUCGGAGCCAUUGGUGAGAUACCACUCUUGUAAAGCUAGAAUUCUAACCUUAUACCGUAAUCCGGUUAAGGAACAGUCUCUGGUGGGCAGUUUGACUGGGGCGGUCGCCUCCCAAAAGGUAACGGAGGCGCACAAAGGUUUCCUCAGAUCGGUCAGAAAUCGAUCGUAGAGCGUAAAGGCAUAAGGAAGCUUGACUGCGAGACCUACAAGUCGAGCAGAGACGAAAGUCGGUCUUAGUGAUCUGACGGUUCCGAGUGGAAGGGCCGUCACUCAACGGAUAAAAGUUACUCUAGGGAUAACAGGCUGA
RNAcentral lists this ribosomal RNA (405 nucleotides) under Teleaulax sp. RNAcentral describes it as "partial large subunit ribosomal RNA". It matches the Rfam family "Bacterial large subunit ribosomal RNA", at positions 2081 to 2485 of the family's 2925-position model. Lineage: Eukaryota; Cryptophyceae; Pyrenomonadales; Geminigeraceae. The record is from RNAcentral.